Molecule: long non-coding RNA, 234 nt
Filed under: Elaeis guineensis (African oil palm)
Lineage: Eukaryota; Viridiplantae; Streptophyta; Magnoliopsida; Arecales; Arecaceae
Description: long non-coding RNA (EGUI_LNC032156)
Source: RNAcentral
ACUAAAUGGGUAUUAAUGGGAUAGGCUCCACAAAUUGCUAUGGCUUUUUUUUCUUCUACCUAUAUGAUGUCUUAAAGCUGAUGGGUGCCAAAGAUUAGAUUUUAUGAUCACAUAUAUACUCGACUUUAUUCAAUUUUAUUCAUAUAUACUCGAUUAGAUUUUGUGAACAUAUAUAACUCCUUUAACAUUGUCCUUGAUUUGCGGUAGAUGACUUUCCAAGGUCAGUGCUAUCAU